AUGCUUGUCUUCCCAGCACAGAUACCCAAACAGUACCAAACAAUACAGAAAAGAUCAGCAUGGUUCCUGCACAAAAUAUGACACACAAAUUCAUAAAAUGUUCCAUACUUUA
This is a small nuclear RNA of Ictidomys tridecemlineatus (thirteen-lined ground squirrel), 112 nucleotides long. Lineage: Eukaryota; Metazoa; Chordata; Mammalia; Rodentia; Sciuridae. The record is from Ensembl.